CACGUCAUCCCCACCUUCCUCCGGUUUGUCACCGGCAGUCUCAUUAGAGUGCCCUUUCGUAGCAACUAAUGACAAGGGUUGCGCUCGUUGCGGGACUUAACCCAACAUCUCACGACACGAGCUGACGACAGCCAUGCAGCACCUGUGUUCCAGUUCUCUUGCGAGCACAGCCCAAUCUCUCGGGCCUUCCAGACAUGUCAAGGGUAGGUAAGGUUUUUCGCGUUGCAUCGAAUUAAUCCACAUCAUCCACCGCUUGUGCGGGUCCCCGUCAAUUCCUUUGAGUUUUAAUCUUGCGACCGUACUCCCCAGGCGGUCAACUUCACGCGUUAGCUGCGCUACUAAGAGCCGAAGCCCCCAACAGCUAGUUGACAUCGUUUAGGGCGUGGACUACCAGGGUAUC
Molecule: unclassified non-coding RNA, 400 nt
Filed under: uncultured fungus
Lineage: Eukaryota; Fungi
Description: sequence contains ITS1
Source: RNAcentral